AAGCAUCGGUGCUAUUGGACACGCGUCUCUCUCUCAGCGCUCCUUUCUCUGUCUCUGUCUCUCUCUCGACGAACUCGAGAGCAAUCUUUAUCCGUUUCUUCAUCUUCUUCCCGACGAAAAUCUAUUCAUCUUCGCCAACCGGAGAUCGAUCCUGUUCGACUUCGUCAAUCACCGAAUCACUGGCUCCUCCGUGCUCCUCCCUCUCUUUUAUUUCUGCUUCUGCUUCCAAGUCUAAUUCUUUUGAUUCAGAUUGAUAAUAGUUUCCAGAUUCUCAUAUAGUUGGCGAUCAGGUUAUAAUGCCUUCAGGACAAGGACAGUGUUAAGUGCGAGUGUCCUCCAGGAUUCAAAGGAGACGGUUUUAAGAAGUGUGAAGACAUCAACGAGUGCAAAGAGAGGAAAGCCUGUCAGUGCCCGGAAUGUAGCUGCAAGAAUACUUGGGGAAGCUAUGAGUGCUCUUGUAGCGGGUUCACAAGUGAGAUCAGCGUGGGCUGCCGUUUGGCUUAUAAUGUUAUCAUUGGGACUUGCAGCCGGUGGGGCGUACCUCGUUUACAAAUAUAGAUUAAGGAGAUCAGAGCAAUAAUGGCACAGUACAUGCCACUGGACAGCCAACCCGAGGUUCCAAACCACGUGAAUGAUGAACGUGCCUGAGUGAGCGGAAUGAUGAUCCAUCUAUUUAUUCCUCGUUAAGGGCUCAAGGUGACAUGUUCUUUUAACCGUUUUGGCCCUUGAUGCCUCUGUAUCUCUGUAACUCUUUUACUAAAUAGUGUGUUUGCUAAAACUUGAUGUCUUUUACUUUAAAUGGCUUAUACUUUUUUU
Long non-coding RNA from Brassica napus (rape), 816 nucleotides. RefSeq lists it as uncharacterized. The record is from RefSeq and is a predicted model, not a curated record. The transcript is spliced from 4 exons. NCBI's taxonomy places the organism in Eukaryota, Viridiplantae, Streptophyta, Magnoliopsida, Brassicales, Brassicaceae.